Dendrobium catenatum is the source of this 106-nucleotide small nucleolar RNA. Lineage: Eukaryota; Viridiplantae; Streptophyta; Magnoliopsida; Asparagales; Orchidaceae. The record is from RefSeq and is a predicted model, not a curated record.
AAGGCAUGAUGAGGACAUUUCUUAAGAAAUUCCUUAAAUGUUUCCCACAAUUCAUUAAUAUAUUUUCCAUCAAAAUGGGUAAGUAAAUGAUGUCAUUUCUAAUUUC